RNAcentral lists this ribosomal RNA (460 nucleotides) under uncultured bacterium. Its description in RNAcentral is "partial 16S ribosomal RNA". It matches the Rfam family "Bacterial small subunit ribosomal RNA", at positions 338 to 795 of the family's 1533-position model. The record is from RNAcentral.
CCUACGGGAGGCAGCAGUGAGGAAUAUUGGUCAAUGGGCGCGAGCCUGAACCAGCCAAGUCGCGUGAGGGAGGACGGCCCUACGGGUUGUAAACCUCUUUUGCCGGGGAGCAACUGGCGCCACGUGUGGCGUCACUGAGAGUACCCGGAGAAAAAGCAUCGGCUAACUCCGUGCCAGCCGCCGCGGUAAUACGGAGGAUGCGAGCGUUAUCCGGAUUUAGUGGGUUUAAAGGUUGCGUAGGCGUAUCGUUAAGUCAGUGGUCAGAUUGAGGGGCUCAACCCCUUCCCGCCAUUGAAACUGGCGUUCUUGAGGGGAAUAGAAGUAUGCGGAAUGCGUGGGGGAGCGGUGAAAUGCAUAGAUAUCACGCAGAACCCCGAUUGCGAAGGCAGCAUGCCGGCUUCCGACUGACGCUGAAGCACGAAAGCGUGGGGAUCGAACAGGAUUAGAUACCCCGGUAGUC